GCAUAUCAAUAAGCGGAGGAAAAGAAACCAACAGGGAUUGCCCUAGUAACGGCGAGUGAAGCGGCAACAGCUCAAAUUUGAAAUCUGGCUUCGGCCCGAGUUGUAAUUUGCAGAGGAUGUUUAUGGUGCGGUACUUUCCGAGUUCCCUGGAACGGGACGCCACAGAGGGUGAGAGCCCCGUCUGGAUGGAUACCAAACCUGUGUUAAACUCCUUCAACGAGUCGAGUAGUUUGGGAAUGCUGCUCUAAAUGGGAGGUAAAUCUCUUCUAAAGCUAAAUAUAGGCCAGAGACCGAUAGCGCACAAGUAGAGUGAUCGAAAGAUGAAAAGCACCUUGAAAAGGGGGUUAAACAGUACGUGAAAUUGUUGAAAGGGAAGCGUUUAUGACCAGACUUGUGUCGUGUGGCUCAUCCGAGGUUCUCCCCGGUGCACUCCACACGGCUCAGGCCAACAUCGGUUUUUGUCGAAGGAUAAGAAUAGUAGGAACGUAGCUCUUCCUCGGAAGAGUGUUAUAGCCUAUUAUACGAUACUUUGAUAGAGACCGAGGACCGCGCUUCGGCUAGGAUGUUGGCGUAAUGGUCAUUAGCGACCCGUCUUGAAACACGGACCAAGGAGUCGUCCAUUAGAGCGAGCGUUUGGGUGUAAAACCCGCACGCGUAAUGAAAGUGAAAUUAGGUGAGAGCUUCGGCGCAUCAUCGACCGAUCCUGAAGUUUACGGAUGGAUUUGAGUAAGAGUUUUAACGGACGGACCCGAAAGACAGUGAACUAUGCUUGAAUAGGGUGAAGCCAGAGGAAACUCUGGUGGAGGCUCGCAGCGGUUCUGACGUGCAAAUCGAUCGUCAAAUUUGAGCAUGGGGGCGAAAGACUAAUCGAACUGUCUAGUAGCUGGUUACCGCCGA
Molecule: ribosomal RNA, 897 nt
Filed under: Dothidea noxia
Lineage: Eukaryota; Fungi; Ascomycota; Dothideomycetes; Dothideales; Dothideaceae
Description: LSU rRNA
Rfam family: Eukaryotic large subunit ribosomal RNA
Source: RNAcentral